AUUGAACGCUGGCGGCAUGCUCUACACAUGCAAGUCGAACGGUAACAGGCCGCAAGGUGCUGACGAGUGGCGAACGGGUGAGUAAUGCAUCGGAACGUGCCCAGUCGUGGGGGAUAACUACUCGAAAGAGUAGCUAAUACCGCAUACGAUCUAUGGAUGAAAGCGGGGGACCGUAAGGCCUCGCGCGAUUGGAGCGGCCGAUGUCAGAUUAGGUAGUUGGUGGGGUAAAGGCUCACCAAGCCAACGAUCUGUAGCUGGUCUGAGAGGACGACCAGCCACACUGGGACUGAGACACGGCCCAGACUCCUACGGGAGGCAGCAGUGGGGAAUUUUGGACAAUGGGCGCAAGCCUGAUCCAGCAAUUCCGCGUGCAGGAAGAAGGCCUUCGGGUUGUAAACUGCUUUUGUACGGAACGAAACGGCUCUGGUUAAUACCCGGGGCUAAUGACGGUACCGUAAGAAUAAGCACCGGCUAACUACGUG
Molecule: ribosomal RNA, 482 nt
Filed under: uncultured bacterium
Lineage: Bacteria
Description: partial 16S ribosomal RNA
Rfam family: Bacterial small subunit ribosomal RNA
Source: RNAcentral